Molecule: ribosomal RNA, 511 nt
Filed under: uncultured bacterium
Lineage: Bacteria
Description: bacterial SSU rRNA
Rfam family: Bacterial small subunit ribosomal RNA
Source: RNAcentral
CUGGCGGCGUGCCUAAUACAUGCAAGUCGAACGGUCUUUCUAUGGAAGCUUGCUUCCACUGAGAAGAUAGUGGCGAACGGGUGAGUAACACGUGGGUAACCUGCCCAUAAGAGGGGGGAGUAACAUCCGGAAACGGGUGCUAAUACCGCAUAGUUUUCUUGAUCGCAUGAUCGGGAAAGGAAAGACGGCCUUUGUGCUGUCGCUUAUGGAUGGACCCGCGGCGUAUUAGUUAGUUGGUGAGGUAACGGCUCACCAAGACGAUGAUACGUAGCCGACCUGAGAGGGUGAUCGGCCACAUUGGGACUGAGACACGGCCCAAACUCCUACGGGAGGCAGCAGUAGGGAAUCUUCCGCAAUGGACGAAAGUCUGACGGAGCAACGCCGCGUGAGUGAAGAAAGGUUUUCGGAUCGUAAAACUCUGUUGUCAGAGAAGAACAAGUUGGAGAGUAACUGCUCCAGCCUUGACGGUAUCUGACCAGAAAGCCACGGCUAACUACGUGCCAGCCGCCGC